UACGAAGGGGGGCGAGCGUUGUUCGGAUUUACUGGGCGUAAAGGGCGCGCAGGCGGCGCAUUUUGUCAGGCGUGAAAGCCCCGGGCUUAACCUGGGAACUGCGUUUGAUACGGAUGGGCUAGAGUUCGGGAGAGGAGAGUGGAAUUCCCAGUGUAGAGGUGAAAUUCGUAGGAUAUUGGGAAGAACACCGGUGGCGAAGGCGGCGAGCUGGUCCGAUUACUGGACGCUGAGGCGCGACAGCGUGGGGGAGCAAACAGGGAUUAGAGUACCCCGAAGAUAGAUCCA
Molecule: ribosomal RNA, 285 nt
Filed under: uncultured bacterium
Lineage: Bacteria
Description: partial 16S ribosomal RNA
Rfam family: Bacterial small subunit ribosomal RNA
Source: RNAcentral